UACGUAGGUGGCAAGCGUUGUCCGGAAUUAUUGGGCGUAAAGCGCGCGCAGGCGGUCCCUUAAGUCUGAUGUGAAAGCCCACGGCUCAACCGUGGAGGGUCAUUGGAAACUGGGGGACUUGAGUACAGAAGAGGAAAGCGGAAUUCCACGUGUAGCGGUGAAAUGCGUAGAGAUGUGGAGGAACACCAGUGGCGAAGGCGGCUUUCUGGUCUGUAACUGACGCUGAGACGCGAGGGCGUGGGGAGCAAACAGG
Molecule: ribosomal RNA, 253 nt
Filed under: uncultured bacterium
Lineage: Bacteria
Description: partial 16S ribosomal RNA
Rfam family: Bacterial small subunit ribosomal RNA
Source: RNAcentral